AGAAUGUGGACAAAGCUGCUGGACA
This 25-nucleotide non-coding RNA is filed under the name Cricetulus griseus (Chinese hamster). The record is from RNAcentral. Lineage: Eukaryota; Metazoa; Chordata; Mammalia; Rodentia; Cricetidae.